UUCAGUGAGGAAAUAUAAAAC
Molecule: non-coding RNA, 21 nt
Filed under: Caenorhabditis elegans
Lineage: Eukaryota; Metazoa; Nematoda; Chromadorea; Rhabditida; Rhabditidae
Source: RNAcentral